RNAcentral lists this ribosomal RNA (483 nucleotides) under uncultured bacterium. RNAcentral's name for it is "partial 16S ribosomal RNA". It matches the Rfam family "Bacterial small subunit ribosomal RNA", at positions 28 to 523 of the family's 1533-position model. The record is from RNAcentral.
GACGAACGCUGGCGGCGUGCUUAACACAUGCAAGUCGAACGAUGAUCAGGAGCUUGCUCCUGUGAUUAGUGGCGAACGGGUGAGUAACACGUGAGUAACCUGCCCCUGACUCUGGGAUAAGCGUUGGAAACGACGUCUAAUACUGGAUACGACUGCCGGCCGCAUGGUCUGGUGGGGGAAAGAUUUUUUGGUUGGGGAUGGACUCGCGGCCUAUCAGCUUGUUGGUGAGGUAAUGGCUCACCAAGGCGACGACGGGUAGCCGGCCUGAGAGGGUGACCGGCCACACUGGGACUGAGACACGGCCAAGACUCCUACGGGAGGCAGCAGUGGGGAAUAUUGCACAAUGGGCGAAAGCCUGAUGCAGCAGCGCCGCGUGAGGGAUGACGGCCUUCGGGUUGUAAACCUCUUUUAGUAGGGAAGAAGCGAAAGUGACGGUACCUGCAGAAAAAGCACCGGCUAACUACGUGCCAGCAGCCGCGGUAA